UACAGAGGUCCCGAGCGUUGUUCGGAUUCACUGGGCGUAAAGGGCGCGUAGGCGGCCUUCUAAGUCGAACGUGAAAUCCCUGGGCUCAACCCAGGAACUGCGUCCGAGACUGGGGGGCUAGAAUCCGGGAGAGGGAUGUGGAAUUCCAGGUGUAGCGGUGAAAUGCGUAGAUAUCUGGAGGAACAUCGGUGGCGAAGGCGGCAUCCUGGACCGGUAUUGACGCUGAGGCGCGAAAGCCAGGGGAGCAAACGGG
This 253-nucleotide ribosomal RNA is filed under the name uncultured bacterium. Its description in RNAcentral is "partial 16S ribosomal RNA". It matches the Rfam family "Bacterial small subunit ribosomal RNA", at positions 524 to 776 of the family's 1533-position model. The record is from RNAcentral.